ACGACUACAUAUCAGGCAUAUCAAUAAGCGGAGGAAAAGAAACUAACAAGGAUUCCCUUAGUAACGGCGAGUGAAGCGGGAAGAGCUCAAAUUUGAAAUCUUCAAGGUUCUACCUUGACGAAUUGUAGUUUAAAGAAGUGUUUUCUGUUAGAUGAGUAGCAAAAGUUCCUUGGAAUGGGACAUCAUAGAGGAUGAGAAUCCCGUAUUUGGUUAUUCAUUCUAGCUUUGUGAUACACUUUCAAAGAGUCGGAUUGUUUGGGAAUGCAGUCCAAAAUGGGUGGUAAAUUUCAUCUAAAGCUAAAUAUUGGCGAGAGACCGAUAGCGAACAAGUACCGUGAGGGAAAGAUGAAAAGAACUUUGAAAAGAGAGUUAAACAGUACGUGAAAUUGUCAAAAGGGAAGCGUUUGACACCAGUGUUGUUUUUCCGAAAAUCAAUUACGAAUGGCUUGAUUUUGUGUUGUAUUGACCUUAUCAGCUUUCUUCACUUUUUUCGAGUCUUUCUUAAUGCACUUUUCGGUUAACAAGUCAACAUCAAUUUCUUUUGUUGUAAAAGAGUAUUCGGAAGGUGGCUUUCUUUUCGGAGAAAGUGUUUAUAGCCCUAUACUUCUACAAUCGGAGAGAUUGAGGUCUGCAGCGUAGAUCCUUCGGGGUUAGAUACACUUUGUGCUAAGUUGUAGCUUUUCAUAGACAACUUGUUGACUAUGUUUAGUCAUGCGGCUUACUCGCUUAGUGCUAUUUUACCUACGCUUAGGAUGUUGAGUAGCGACAUACGCAC
This 775-nucleotide ribosomal RNA is filed under the name uncultured Neocallimastigales. Its description in RNAcentral is "partial large subunit ribosomal RNA". It matches the Rfam family "Eukaryotic large subunit ribosomal RNA", at positions 24 to 649 of the family's 3401-position model. The record is from RNAcentral. Lineage: Eukaryota; Fungi; Neocallimastigomycota; Neocallimastigomycetes; Neocallimastigales.